RNA transcript from Syzygium oleosum, 3522 nucleotides. RefSeq lists it as uncharacterized. NCBI's taxonomy places the organism in Eukaryota, Viridiplantae, Streptophyta, Magnoliopsida, Myrtales, Myrtaceae. The record is from RefSeq and is a predicted model, not a curated record. The transcript has 6 exons.
UUCCCUAUAUUCUAAAACAAGUCUCCAAUCUAAAUCUUUGUUCUUGCAUGAGAGCAUGAUCACGUGCGAUGCGCGUGCAACCUUGAUAGCUGGGCUUUUCCAUCCGACGGCCCAAGUCUCUCCAUCCCCGCCUCCCUCUCUCUCUCUCUCUCUCUCUCUCUCUCUCUAUCCAUCGAUCUCCCCUUCAUCCCCCCGUCGUCGCGCUCUCGCCACCGUUCGCUCGCUCACGACCGCCGGGAACCGCCGCCGGAAGCUCGCGUCCGGCGCCGCCGCCUGCAGCCGGCGAGGACUUCAAUCGCUAGCUUCCCUUGGGGAGGUCCUUGUUCUUAGUUGACUUCUAAAUCAGCUCAUGUACCAAUCUAUUUGCUUCCGAUUGGGUUUGGAGACUGUGGGCUAAUGCAGAGUUGAUGGAGAAUUUUUCAAAUUGACUUCAAGCAUGGAUAGUGGCGCUUCCAGUACUCGACCACCUACAUCUAGCAAUGAAGAUUUCAAUAAACCACUAUGGAGGUAUAUUACUAAGUUAGCUACUCAUAGCGAUGCGGGGGGAAAUGUGUCUUGGAAAUGCAAUUUUUGUGAAAAAGAUUUUAAGAGUUCAUACACGAGAAUUAGGGCCCAUUUGUUGAUGAUAAGUGGAAAAGGAAUUGGAAAAUGCGGAAAAGUAGAAAAGAAGGAUCUUUUCGAGAUGGAAAGAUUAGAUGAAGAGGUCAAUACUAGAUUAAUGAGUAUUGUGCCUAAAAAUGUACCUUUACCCCCUUCUAGUUUUUCAAUUAGUGGUGGUGGUGAGGGGAUGGAUUCAUCCUUUGACUCCAAAAAAAGGAAGAUUGGAAGUGGGAGUGGAGGAUCAAUUGAGAAGGCACUCAACAUGACUGAACGGGAACGUUUAGAUUAUGAAAUUGCUAGGAUGUUCUAUUCGGCGGGCUUGUCGUUUAACCUAGCAAGGAACCCUUACUUUCAAUCCGCUUUCACUUAUGCCGCUAAUCAUAAUAUUGCGGGAUAUGUACCACCGAAAUAUAAUUUAUUAAGGACUACUUUGCUGCAAAAAGAAAAGGCAAAUAUCGAUAGGUUGUAUGCUCCUAUUAGAAACAUGUGGAGGGAAUGGGGUGUAAGUAUUGUGAGUAAUGGAUGGAGUGACCCACAAAGGAGACCACUUAUUAAUAUUAUGGCGGUAUCGGAUGGAGAACCUAUGUUUAUAAAAUCGGUUGAUUGCUCGGGAGAAAUAAAGGAUAUGCAUUUUAUUUUUAACUCGUUGAAAGAAGUAAUCGAUGAAAUUGGGCAUGAGAAUGUGGUUCAAGUAAUUACGGAUAAUGCUUCAAAUUGUAAGGGCGCGGGACAACUCAUCGAGCAAGAAUUUUCAUCCAUUGUUUGGACGCCUUGUGUGGUGCACACCCUUAAUCUAGCUUUGAAGAACAUUUGUGCCGCAAAGAAUGUGGAGAUCAAUCAAGUAGUUUAUGAGGAAUGUAGUUGGAUUUCAGAGAUUGUUGGGGAUGUUAUGCAAAUCAAACAUUUCAUCACGAACCAUUCCAUGAGAUUAGCAAUAUACAAUGAGUUUGUUAACUUGAAGUUGCUUUCCGUAGCGGAUACACGUUUUGCUUCGAUGAUUGUGAUGCUUAGAAGGUUUAAACUAAUAAAAGGUGGUCUUCAAAGUAUGGUUAUUUGUGACAAAUGGAAUAUCUAUCGAGAUGAUAAUCAUGGGAGAGCUAAGUUUGUCAAGGAGAAGGUGUUGGAUGAUUUUUUGUGGGAUUCAAUUGAUUAUAUACUUUCCUUCACGGCUCCUAUUUAUGACAUGCUUAGAAUUUUUGACACCGACAAGCCUUGUCUUCACUUAGUCUACGACAUGUGGGAUUCAAUGAUUGAAAAAGUGAAGAGAGCUAUAUAUGCGCAUGAAGUGAAAAGGCUAGAUGAGGAAUCUACAUUUUAUGAGGUGGUUCAUACAAUUCUUGUGGAUCGUUGGACUAUGAACACUCCACUUCAUUGCUUGGCACAUGCCCUGAAUCCUAGAUACUAUAGUGAUCAAUGGCUCAAUGAAGAUCCUGCUCGAGUUUCUCCACACAAGAAUAAGGAGAUCAACCAAGAAAGACUAAAAUGCCUUAGGAAAUACUUUCCUAACUUUGAUGAGCACCACAAGAACGUUGUCUGCUUUGCCAAUCCAGCUUCAAUCAUCAAGUCGUUUGCAGAGGUAAGAGUCUCUCUCUCUCUCUCUCUCUCUCUCUCUCAAAUAAGUUAGAUGUUCGGAUCUGUUGUACUUGCCUCUGUUUAGUGUUCACAAAUGGCUCUUCUUAACUCUUUUUUCUGCGAAUCCAUUGUGUCCAUCUGAUCAUCUUCAACUAUGUUUCUUCUUAACUCUUUUUUCUAGUGAGCUUUUUUGAUUCCUCAAAAUUGUGACGGAGAAGCCAAUUAGCAAAGCAAAGGCAUCGAUUUAAAAUCGAUGGCGCAAAUUGCAUUGAAGAAAAUUUCAAGAAUCUCGCGUCUUCAAAGCCACAUUGAUAUUUUGUAUUUUGAUGGGCUUGGUUUUGUGUUCAAUUUUGUGACCUUUGUAGAGAUUAGGCGGAGUGAUUGCGGAGAAAGCGAAGUUUCAUAUACUAUUAUUAGAAAUGGAGCUUAUUAGAGUGAAUUUCAUGCUCAUAAUAACUAGGGCGGUACCCUAUUCUGGUUAUAGUUUUCCCAUGAAAGCUGAUAGUCGGUUAGUUAAUGCUUUUCGUGGUCUUCAUUUGGAGGAAGUCCCUCACUCUAAUGGAUCUCUCAAGAUGAUCACCUGGAAUUGUCGUGGGGUGUGAAAUCUUGAGUUAGACAAAGUGUCAGGGAUCUUGUUAGCAUACAGAAUUCCAAAAUUCUCAUAUUGCCGGAACCCAGAUUAGUGGGGACAGGGCAGGGAUGUGAUCUGCAGUGACCUGGCUUUCGUUGAUUUUACUUCUACUCUGUCUAUGAUUUUUAUCUCUGCGGCUUUCUCGCUGUUCAUUUCGCGGAAACUUUCAUGAAUCUCGCAUCCUCAAAGCCGCAAAGUUCUUUUGUAUUCUGAUGGGCUUGGUUUUGUGUUCAAUUCUGUUAGCUAUGUAGAGAUUAAGCGGACUGAUUGUGGAAAAAGCUGAGUUUCAUGUGCUAGUAUUAGAUUUGGAGGUUCUUUAGACACAAAAGGUGUUGGUUUCAUUCCCAAAGGAAUGUCUACUAAGAAGUUUCUUAUCCACUCAGCCUCGUUGUGUGAACCAGUUCUAGAGCUACGAAUUCUGACUCCAUAAUAGAUUUAGCAAAUAUUGUUUGUUUAGCUGAUUUACAAGUUAUAGCAUCUCCACCAAGAGUGAACAUAUUACCCAUAUGUUUUUCACUUAUUGGGUAUUAGCAUCAUAAGAAGUACUUAUAUAUGUGACAUCAAAGUAUCAUAUUUUUUAAGUAGCAUAUUUACAUAAUGCUCUUGAGUAAGCAUUCAGCCACUAUCACUUAUGAUUUUAACACCCAAAAUAACAUUAGCUUUUCCCAAGUCCGUAUCAGAUUUAGAAGUCAAACAACAUUUUUCUUCAUUUACAACAU